UACGUAGGGUGCGAGCGUUGCCCGGAUUUAUUGGGCGUAAAGGGCGCGUAGGCGGUCGCGCACGUCCGUUGUGAAAUCGCUCGGCUCAACUGGGCGGGGUCAGCGGAUACGGCGUGGCUGGAGCAAGCUAGGGGGCAAUGGAAUUCCCGGUGUAGUGGUGGAAUGCGUAGAUAUCGGGAGGAACACCAGUGGCGAAGGCGGUUGCCUGGAGCUUUGCUGACGCUGAUGCGCGAAAGCGUGGGGAGCGAUCCGG
Molecule: ribosomal RNA, 253 nt
Filed under: uncultured bacterium
Lineage: Bacteria
Description: partial 16S ribosomal RNA
Rfam family: Bacterial small subunit ribosomal RNA
Source: RNAcentral